AGAGUACGAUUUGAGCCAAGGAUGACUUGCCGACAUGUGGAAAAGCUUAAUCCCUUUUCAAGGUGUUGUCGGCGAGGAAUCUGGGCUCAUUUGUGCUCC
This is a non-coding RNA of Glycine max (soybean), 99 nucleotides long. Lineage: Eukaryota; Viridiplantae; Streptophyta; Magnoliopsida; Fabales; Fabaceae. The record is from Rfam.